CUUCAUUUCAAACCCUACUGAUGAGCAGCAAACAGCAUAAAACCUUAACAGACUGCAAGUUAUAAUUGGCAGGCUGUUCUCGUUUUAUGCUGGUUGCAAAAGCCAUUUUCACUUUGCUUCUGAGUGAAAAAGGGUAAAAUGUACACAGUGCUCAAGUGUAACAUUUAUGAAUGAUAGUAAUGCGAGAGGCUUUCUGGCUAUGGAGUUUCCAUGUAGCCAGUUUGAGGGAUACAGAGACUAUGUAAUAUCUGCGCUACAAAACUUAAAGACGCUAGAUGGAACAGCAGUUUAGAGAUCUGAGAGAAUUAAAGCUACACAGGAUAAGGAGAGAGAGGAGGCAAUAAUAUAAUUAGCGAAGGAAGAUCAAUAGAAGGAAGCUGCAAAGGCAGAGGCCGAGAAAAAGCCAGGCUUUGACGGCACCUGGUACACUGAUAUAAAUGCAGAAGAUAAAGAAAAACGUGCCAAGUAACAAACAGAGGAGGCAGAGGAAGAAUUUUAAAAAAGGACAACGAGUA
Long non-coding RNA from Dreissena polymorpha, 515 nucleotides. RefSeq lists it as uncharacterized. The record is from RefSeq and is a predicted model, not a curated record. NCBI's taxonomy places the organism in Eukaryota, Metazoa, Mollusca, Bivalvia, Myida, Dreissenidae. The transcript has 4 exons.